This 660-nucleotide ribosomal RNA is filed under the name uncultivated soil bacterium clone C005. RNAcentral's name for it is "bacterial SSU rRNA". It matches the Rfam family "Bacterial small subunit ribosomal RNA", at positions 94 to 750 of the family's 1533-position model. The record is from RNAcentral.
AGUGGCGAACGGGUGAGUAAUACAUCGGAACGUGCCCAGUUGUGGGGGAUAGCCCGGCGAAAGCCGGAUUAAUACCGCAUACGACCUACGGGUGAAAGCGGGGGAUCGCAAGACCUCGCGCAAUUGGAGCGGCCGUUGUCAGAUUAGCUUGUUGGUGGGGUAAAAGCCUACCAAGGCGACGAUCUGUAGCUGGUCUGAGAGGACGACCAGCCACACUGGGACUGAGACACGGCCCAGACUCCUACGGGAGGCAGCAGUGGGGAAUUUUGGACAAUGGGCGCAAGCCUGAUCCAGCCAUGCCGCGUGUGGGAAGAAGGCCUUCGGGUUGUAAACCACUUUUGUCAGGGAAGAGACGGUCUGAUCUAAUAAAUCGGACUAAUGACGGUACCUGAAGAAUAAGCACCGGCUAACUACGUGCCAGCAGCCGCGGUAAUACGUAGGGUGCAAGCGUUAAUCGGAAUUACUGGGCGUAAAGCGUGCGCAGGCGGCUAUGCAAGACAGAUGUGAAAUCCCCGGGCUCAACCUGGGACCUGCAUUUGUGACUGCAUGGCUAGAGUACGGUAGAGGGGGAUGGAAUUCCGCGUGUAGCAGUGAAAUGCGUAGAUAUGCGGAGGAACACCGAUGGCGAAGUCAAUCCCGUGGACCUGUACUGACGCUUUU